GCUUAGAGUUUGAUCCUGGCUCAGAUUGAACGCUGGCGGCAUGGCUAAAACAUGCAAGUCGAACGAGCUCUUCGGAGCGAGUGGCGAAAGGGCGAGGAAUACGAUCGAAUGUACCCCGAGGUGCGGGAUAGGUCAUGGAAACGUGGCGUAAUACCGCAUGUGCUCUCCGGAGGAAAGGCUUGCCGCCUUGGGAGCAGCGAUCGUCCUAUCAGGUUGUUGGUGAGGUAACGGCUCACCAAGCCGAAGACGGGUAGCGGGUGUGAGAGCAUGACCCGCCGCAUCGGGACUGAGACACUGCCCGGACUCCUACGGGAGGCUGCAGUAACGAAUCUUCCGCAAUGGGCGAAAGCCUGACGGAGCAAUGCCGCGUGUGGGAUGAAGCAUCUCAGAUGUGUAAACCACUGUCAGGGUCUAGGAACAAUGACCAGACCCAGAGGAAGGGCCGGCUAAUUCCGUGCCAGCAGCCGCGGUAAUACGGAAGGCCCGAGCGUUAUUCGGAAUCACUGGGCUUAAAGCGUACGCAGGCGGAUUUGUAGGUAUCUCGUGAAAUCCCACGGCUCAACCGUGGAACUGCGGGGUAAACCACAAGUCUUGAGGCAUGUAGGGGUCAGUGGAACGAUGUGUGGAGCGGUGAAAUGUGUAGAUAUACAUCGGAACGCCAAUGGCGAAGGCAGCUGACUGGGCAUGUCCUGACGCUCAGGUACGAAAGCGUGGGUAACGAACGGGAUUAGAUACCCCGGUAGUCCACGCCGUAACGAUGCGCACUAGGUCGUGGUACCUCUCAUGGUUUCACGGCUGAAGGUAAACUGGUUAGUGCGCCGCCUGGGGAGUACGGUCGCAAGGCUAAAACUCAAAGGAAUUGACGGGGGCUCACACAAGCGGUGGAGCAUGUUG
Molecule: ribosomal RNA, 894 nt
Filed under: uncultured bacterium
Lineage: Bacteria
Description: bacterial SSU rRNA
Rfam family: Bacterial small subunit ribosomal RNA
Source: RNAcentral